RNAcentral lists this ribosomal RNA (651 nucleotides) under Pseudoalteromonas tetraodonis. Its description in RNAcentral is "bacterial SSU rRNA". It matches the Rfam family "Bacterial small subunit ribosomal RNA", at positions 69 to 714 of the family's 1533-position model. Lineage: Bacteria; Pseudomonadati; Pseudomonadota; Gammaproteobacteria; Alteromonadales; Pseudoalteromonadaceae. The record is from RNAcentral.
ACAUUUCUAGCUUGCUAGAAGAUGACGAGCGGCGGACGGGUGAGUAAUGCUUGGGAAACUGCCUUUAGGAGGGGGACAACAGUUGGAAACGACUGCUAAUACCGCAUAAUCUCUACGGAGCAAAGAUGGGGCUCUUCGGACCUAUCGCCUAAAGAUGUGCCCAAGUGGGAUUAGCUAGUUGGUGAGGUAAUGGCUCACCAAGGCGACGAUCCCUAGCUGGUCUGAGAGGAUGAUCAGCCACACUGGAACUGAGACACGGUCCAGACUCCUACGGGAGGCAGCAGUGGGGAAUAUUGCACAAUGGGCGCAAGCCUGAUGCAGCCAUGCCGCGUGUGUGAAGAAGGCCUUCGGGUUGUAAAGCACUUUCAGUUGGGAGGAAAGGUUAGUCGCUAAUAUCGGCUAGCUGUGACGUUACCAACAGAAGAAGCACCGGCUAACUCCGUGCCAGCAGCCGCGGUAAUACGGAGGGUGCGAGCGUUAAUCGGAAUUACUGGGCGUAAAGCGUACGCAGGCGGUUUGUUAAGCUAGAUGUGAAAGCCCCGGGCUCAACCUGGGAACUGCAUUUAGAACUGGCAAACUAGAGUGUGAUAGAGGGUGGUAGAAUUUCAGGUGUAGCGGUGAAAUGCGUAGAGAUCUGAAGGAAUACCGAUG